RNAcentral lists this small RNA (126 nucleotides) under Marmota monax (woodchuck). Lineage: Eukaryota; Metazoa; Chordata; Mammalia; Rodentia; Sciuridae. The record is from RNAcentral.
ACUGGGUACGGUGGUGCACACCUGUAAUCCCAGUGACAUGGAGGCUGAGGCAGGAGGAUCGCAAGUUAAAAGCUAGCCUCAGUAAUUUAGGGAGGCCGUAAGCAACUUAGAAAGACCCUGUCUCUA